GCAGAUUGUGCUUUUGGCGAGGCGCCUUCCGAGUUCCCUGGAACGGGACGCCACAGAGGGUGAGAGCCCCGUCUGGUCGGCCGCCGAGCCUCUGUAAAGCACCUUCGACGAGUCGAGUAGUUUGGGAAUGCUGCUCAAAAUGGGAGGUAUAUGUCUUCUAAAGCUAAAUACUGGCCAGAGACCGAUAGCGCACAAGUAGAGUGAUCGAAAGAUGAAAAGCACCUUGAAAAGGGGGUUAAACAGUACGUGAAAUUGUUGAAAGGGAAGCGCUCGCGACCAGACUUGGGCCCGGCGGAUCACCCAGCGUUCUCGCUGGGGCACUCCGCCUCGUCCCAGGCCAGCAUCGGUUCGCGCCGGGGGAUAAAGGCGGCGGGAACGUGGCUCCCCCGGGAGUGUUAUAGCCCGCCGUGCAAUGCCCUGGGGCGGACCGAGGAUUCGCGCACCACGCAUGGAUGCUGGCGUAAUGGUCACUAGCGACCCGUCUUGAAACACGGACCAAGGAGUCGUCUUCGUAUGCGAGUGUUCGGGUGUCAAACCCCUACGCGUAAUGAAAGUGAACGCAGGUGAGAGCUUCGGCGCAUCAUCGACCGAUCCUGAUGUUCUCGGAUGGAUUUGAGUAGGAGCAUACGGGGCCGGACCCGAAAGAAGGUGAACUAUGCCUGUGUAGGGUGAAGCCAGAGGAAACUCUGGUGGAGGCUCGCAGCGGUUCUGACGUGCAAAUCGAUCGUCA
RNAcentral lists this ribosomal RNA (730 nucleotides) under Moelleriella kanchanaburiensis. RNAcentral's name for it is "partial large subunit ribosomal RNA". It matches the Rfam family "Eukaryotic large subunit ribosomal RNA", at positions 151 to 907 of the family's 3401-position model. Lineage: Eukaryota; Fungi; Ascomycota; Sordariomycetes; Hypocreales; Clavicipitaceae. The record is from RNAcentral.